AGAAGUGAAGAGGAUCAGGCUGUAUCAUUUGUCACUGCACUGACUGUCAGGGUUGAUUUGGAUGAUCUAGCUGGUUAGUGUCAUUUUCCCCCUUCCUUCCUUACAGCUCCACGUGUGUUCUUCUCAAAGUUGCACAUUUAAUCAAAGAGGAUGAUCUUUCUUUGGUUAAGCAUAUACCUGCUCUUCCCAGGUAGAUCCUCCAAACAAGCUCUCAAGGUCCAAAUGCAUACCAGUAUGGCUAUAGUUACUGAAGUUUGCUCUUGGGAUAACUU
Molecule: small nuclear RNA, 272 nt
Filed under: Mus caroli (Ryukyu mouse)
Lineage: Eukaryota; Metazoa; Chordata; Mammalia; Rodentia; Muridae
Description: sRNA (MGP_CAROLIEiJ_G0008869.1)
Rfam family: 7SK RNA
About the family: 7SK was discovered as an abundant small nuclear RNA in the mid-70s but a possible function has only recently been suggested.
Source: RNAcentral